GAGCCCGUGGCUUAGCCUGGCUAGAGCGCUCGACUGAUAAUCGAGUGGUCCCGCGUUCGAAUCGCGGCGGGCUCA
This 75-nucleotide transfer RNA is filed under the name Candidatus Woesearchaeota archaeon. RNAcentral's name for it is "tRNA-Ile". It matches the Rfam family "tRNA". From Rfam's summary of the family: Transfer RNA (tRNA) molecules are approximately 80 nucleotides in length. Their secondary structure includes four short double-helical elements and three loops (D, anti-codon, and T loops). Further hydrogen bonds mediate the characteristic L-shaped molecular structure. tRNAs have two regions of fundamental functional importance: the anti-codon, which is responsible for specific mRNA codon recognition, and the 3' end, to which the tRNAs corresponding amino acid is attached (by aminoacyl-tRNA synthetases). tRNAs cope with the degeneracy of the genetic code in two manners: having more than one tRNA (with a specific anti-codon) for a particular amino acid; and 'wobble' base-pairing, i.e. permitting non-standard base-pairing at the 3rd anti-codon position. The record is from RNAcentral. Lineage: Archaea; Nanobdellati; Candidatus Woesearchaeota.